UGGGGGUUUACGGGUGUUUUCUAAGUCAAAUGGGUGGACAGACAAAGCUGUAUUUAGUUUACUGUGUUAAAUUUUAAAUUACCCUUACAGUUUUGUUUAUACAACAUGUGAAUUUUUUAUUUCAGUGUUAACCAUGUUCUGAAGAGCAUUCUGUUGAAAAAUCUUAUAUGUGAAUUGGUCUGCAGAUGACACUUCAGCAUUAAAGUAAGUAUCAACUAUCAUCAUGUUUUUUUGUUUUUUUUGGCCGCAAAAGUUUACAAUUUGCCAUUGUGCCGUCUACAUUUUGCACAGACAAUAAAUCAUCUAAACACUUAUUUGCCCUGGAUUUAUACACAUCAGAAUCCAGUCUCACAUACUUAAACUUUAUAAUUCUUACCAAUUAUUUUUUGUACCAGCAUUCCAAGGGACAUAACCCUUUUUAAAAACAUUUUGAGGUAUUUUUUAUUACUCUUUCUCCCCAUUUUCUAAUGUAAAAUACAAGAAAGUGGACUCUUUGUGUAAAUCUAUUAGAAAUAUACUGUUAUGAGUAAAUAAAAAGACUUUGAUACCAGUAACAAUAAAUGAUUGACUGAAAGGGAACCGUUAUUUGUCACACUAGGCGAACAGACCAAAAACUCGAGUUACACAUAAGGGCUUAUAGAAACUUCCGUGUAGACUGUUAACAUUUAUAGAGACAGUUCUUUCAGCUAAAACACUUUAAUUAUUGAUUUAACAUUACAUUUAUUUCAUUUUUGUGGGGAAAUAAUCACAUUUGUUUUAUUUUUUAGACAAAAGAUAUCAAGUUUUGAUGAAAAAGGAAGGAAGGAGGAAAAAUGGACCAAAACAGAC
This 828-nucleotide long non-coding RNA is filed under the name Mytilus galloprovincialis (Mediterranean mussel). Lineage: Eukaryota; Metazoa; Mollusca; Bivalvia; Mytilida; Mytilidae. The record is from RNAcentral.